ACCGGCAGCUCAAGUGGUGGCCAUUAUUAUUGGGCCUAAAGCGUUCGUAGCCAGUUUGAUAAGUCUCUGGUGAAAUCCCGCAGCUUAACUGUGGGACUUGCUGGAGAUACUAUCAGACUUGAGGUCGGGAGAGGUUAGGGGUACUCCCAGGAUAGGGGUGAAAUCCUACAAUCCUGGGAGUACCACCUGUGACGAAGGCGCCUAACUCGAACUAACCUGACGGUGAGUAACGAAAUCCAUGUGCUCGAACCG
RNAcentral lists this ribosomal RNA (252 nucleotides) under uncultured prokaryote. RNAcentral describes it as "partial 16S rRNA". It matches the Rfam family "Archaeal small subunit ribosomal RNA", at positions 475 to 726 of the family's 1478-position model. The record is from RNAcentral.